GCAGUGUUGGCCGGGAAAGAAUCUUCCGGAAGUCUGUGUCCUAGAAGGUUGGACUGGAGCUGGGAUCCGGUCCUGAUUGAACCCUUCGGUCCCAAGUACCCAAGUGUAGAGGCCGUGGAGCCGCAUGCUCCUGGUAACUGGGCCGUGUGACUCUUCUGUGGCCCCCUCCUGACCUGAGAAAGUGGUGCAGACAUCCCCUGCGUCAUCUGGUCGUUGGAGCACAGAGCCUGACCCACGGAUUGCUGAGGCAGUGAAUUGGAGCAGCUAUGUAGUGCUUGCAACCAGUUACCGUAUUUCCCUGAAGGAAUCGCCACCAACCAGCUCUUCCAGAAUUUAUGAGGUGCUUCCCUCAUCGCCAGCCAUCUCACGCACAAGUGGAUUCUCAUCUUUCAGUCUGUAUCAUUUCAAUGUCAUCUGCUACAGAGAGGCAAUUAGAUAA
Molecule: long non-coding RNA, 439 nt
Organism: Rhinopithecus bieti (black snub-nosed monkey)
Lineage: Eukaryota; Metazoa; Chordata; Mammalia; Primates; Cercopithecidae
Source: Ensembl